This 73-nucleotide transfer RNA is filed under the name Kapaibacterium sp. (SeqCode). Its description in RNAcentral is "tRNA-Met". It matches the Rfam family "tRNA". From Rfam's summary of the family: Transfer RNA (tRNA) molecules are approximately 80 nucleotides in length. The record is from RNAcentral. Lineage: Bacteria; Pseudomonadati; Bacteroidota; Eximiradiia; Eximiradiales; Kapaibacteriaceae (SeqCode).
AGCGGGUUAGAGAAACGGUCAUCUCGUCGGUCUCAUAAGCCGAAGAUAGGGGGUUCAAUUCCUCCACCCGCUA